Molecule: long non-coding RNA, 219 nt
Organism: Haliotis rubra (blacklip abalone)
Lineage: Eukaryota; Metazoa; Mollusca; Gastropoda; Lepetellida; Haliotidae
Exons: 2
Source: RefSeq, a predicted model, not a curated record
UACGUGAUAUUGUCCUACUCCACAUGGUGUGAGACACCAGUACUAAGAUGAUGGUAUAUAUGUGAUAUUGUCCUGCUUCACAGGGUGUGAGACACCAGUACUAAGAUGAUGCUAUAUAAGUGAUAUUGUCCUGCUUCACAGGGUGUGAGAGACCACAGUACUAAGAUGAUGGUAUAUAUGUGAUAUUGUCCUGCUCCACAGGGUAUGGGAGAACAGUAC